CCCUUAGAUGUUCUGGGCCGCACGCGCGCUACACUGAUGAAUUCAACGAGCUCCUAACCUAGGCCGAAGGGUCCGGGUAAUCUUUGAAAUUUCAUCGUGAUGGGGAUAGAUUAUUGCAAUUAUUAAUCUUCAACGAGGAAUUCCUAGUAAGCGCGAGUCAUCAGCUCGCGUUGAUUACGUCCCUGCCCUUUGUACACACCGCCCGUCGCUCCUACCGAUUGAAUGGUCCGGUGAAAUGUUCGGACCGCGACAAGGCGGACGGUUCGCUGUCAGCUUUGCUGCGGAAAGUUCAUUAAACCUUAUCAUUUAGAGGAAGGAGAAGUCGUAACA
Molecule: ribosomal RNA, 330 nt
Filed under: uncultured eukaryote
Lineage: Eukaryota
Description: partial 18S ribosomal RNA
Rfam family: Eukaryotic small subunit ribosomal RNA
Source: RNAcentral